RNAcentral lists this transfer RNA (75 nucleotides) under Verrucomicrobiota bacterium. RNAcentral describes it as "Verrucomicrobia bacterium tRNA-Gly". It matches the Rfam family "tRNA". Rfam says of the family: Transfer RNA (tRNA) molecules are approximately 80 nucleotides in length. Their secondary structure includes four short double-helical elements and three loops (D, anti-codon, and T loops). RNAcentral also lists the same sequence under 1 other name. The record is from RNAcentral. Lineage: Bacteria; Pseudomonadati; Verrucomicrobiota.
GCGAGCGUAGCUCAGUGGUAGAGCGCGACCUUGCCAAGGUCGAUGUCGAGGGUUCAACUCCCUUCGCUCGCUCCA